UCGGGAAUUUUGGGCAAUGGGCGAAAGCCUGACCCAGCAACGCCGCGUGAAGGAUGAAGUAUUUCGGUAUGUAAACUUCGAAAGAAUAGGAAGAAUAAAUGACGGUACUAUUUAUAAGGUCCGGCUAACUACGUGCCAGCAGCCGCGGUAAUACGUAGGGACCAAGCGUUGUUCGGAUUUACUGGGCGUAAAGGGCGCGUAGGCGGCAAUUCAAGUCAUCUGUGAAAUCUCCGGGCUUAACUCGGAACGGUCAGAUGAUACUGCUUUGCUAGAGUGCAGAAGGGGCAAUCGGAAUUCUUGGUGUAGCGGUGAAAUGCGUAGAUAUCAAGAGGAACACCUGAGGUGAAGACGGGUUGCUGGGCUGACACUGACGCUGAGACGCGAAAGCCAGGGGAGCAAACGGGAUUAGAUACCCUCGUAGUCCCUGAGCGGGCUGGCAAGGCGCAU
RNAcentral lists this ribosomal RNA (447 nucleotides) under uncultured bacterium. RNAcentral's name for it is "bacterial SSU rRNA". It matches the Rfam family "Bacterial small subunit ribosomal RNA", at positions 355 to 825 of the family's 1533-position model. The record is from RNAcentral.